AUCACUUCUUGUUCUUUUGGUUAAGAUCAAGUGUAGUAUUUGUUUUGAUUAAUUUAGUAGCUGAUAUGUUUCUUACGUGGGGGCCAUAUAUUAAAUUGUUUUUUGAAACAGGGAGAUGAAAUAGGGGCUUGCUCUGUCUGUUUUUUUGUUCAUUUUAUUUACCACCAUAAUAAUUAAAUAAAAAUGGUACAUAAA
Small nuclear RNA from Thalassophryne amazonica, 195 nucleotides. RefSeq annotates it as U2 spliceosomal RNA. The record is from RefSeq and is a predicted model, not a curated record. NCBI's taxonomy places the organism in Eukaryota, Metazoa, Chordata, Actinopteri, Batrachoidiformes, Batrachoididae. The transcript has a single exon.